CACUAUUCAUAAUUGUAAAUAAAAUUAAAAAUUUACCAGAGUACUAUGAAUAUACAUAUAUAAAAAAUUUAAAACUCAAAGGGCUUGGCGGUGUUUUAGACCUAUCAGGGGAACCUGUCUCAUAAUCGACAAUCCACGUAGAACCUAACCCUAUUUUGUAUUCAGUUUGUAUACCGUCGUCGUCAGGUAACUUUUAAAAAACUAGAAGUUAGCACCAAAAAUAAGAAUAGAUUAAUACGUCAGAUCAAGGUGCAGCUAAUAAAAGGGAGAGGAUGGGUUACAAUUAUAUAAUUUAUAAUUACGGAUAGUUAAGUGAAAAAAUAACUUAAAGGAGGACUUGAAAGUAAAAUAAAAUAUAUAAACAAUUUGAAUAAGGCUCUGAAACGUGC
This 389-nucleotide ribosomal RNA is filed under the name Eosipho smithi. RNAcentral's name for it is "partial 12S ribosomal RNA". Lineage: Eukaryota; Metazoa; Mollusca; Gastropoda; Neogastropoda; Buccinidae. The record is from RNAcentral.